Molecule: long non-coding RNA, 503 nt
Organism: Oncorhynchus kisutch (coho salmon)
Lineage: Eukaryota; Metazoa; Chordata; Actinopteri; Salmoniformes; Salmonidae
Exons: 2
Source: RefSeq, a predicted model, not a curated record
AUAACCAAUGAGGAUAUGGCACGUAGGUACCUGCUUCUAUAAACCAAUGAGGAGAUGGGAGAGGCAGGACUUGCAAUGCGAUCUGCAUUCUAUUUUAGCCCUCGGCAAAGCAGACGCACGUUGGCGCGCGCGAGCAGUGGCACCUGAGUGUUCCUGAGUGUUCCAGGCCAAAAAGCACAACAAAAAAAUAAAGCACACACCUCUGGAUAAUGAGAAAGCCCUGGCCUAUAUGUCCUGAGCUGCCGGCCCUAGCGUGAUGUCAAGCUAAAUCUGGGAGAACAACCUGCCCAGUUUCCUUGGCAACAGAGAAGAAAUACAGUGCCUUCAGAAAGUAUUCAAACCCAUUGACUGUUUCCACAUAUUGUUGUGUCACUGACCUACACACAAUACCCCAUAAUCUCAAAGUGGAAAUAUGCUUUGGUAAAUGUUUACAAAUUAAUUCAAAUGAAAAGCUGAAAUGUUGUUAUGGCAAGCCUAAAAUAAAGUACGUCGAGGGGUAAAAA